Molecule: ribosomal RNA, 253 nt
Filed under: uncultured bacterium
Lineage: Bacteria
Description: partial 16S ribosomal RNA
Rfam family: Bacterial small subunit ribosomal RNA
Source: RNAcentral
UACGUAGGGGGCAAGCGUUGUCCGGAAUCAUUGGGCGUAAAGAGCGUGUAGGCGGCCCGAUAAGUCCGCUGUGAAAGUCCAGGGCUCAACCCUGGAAUGCCGGUGGAUACUGUCGGGCUCGAAUCCGGAAGAGGCGAGUGGAAUUCCUGGUGUAGCGGUGAAAUGCGCAGAUAUCAGGAGGAACACCAAUGGCGAAGGCAGCUCGCUGGGACGUGACUGACGCUGAGACGCGAAAGCGUGGGGAGCAAACAGG